AACCUGAGGGGAAGAGGAAUCUGAGCGGAGACCAUAAACACUCUGAAAAAAUCCCCCAGAAUCACAGGCUUCACAGGUGACUCCAGAAGCCCAUUUGCAGCUCUCGAGACAGACUCAAAAGGCCUGGAACCCUUGAGAGACCAGUGAGUCCAGGUGGCUGACUGGAGCAGGUGGGCCAAUAAUAGCGGGCAAAGCCGGAGGAGCCAAAGCACCAGUUCCCACAGGCGGUCAGUCAGCGAGCUCCUCACCUCGCCGGCCACAGGAUGGUCCCAGGUAAGCCCCCUCCUCUCCCAGAAGACAAGCCCCCAUCUCUCUGAACACAGCCUGCAUCUCCUUGCAGG
Molecule: long non-coding RNA, 341 nt
Organism: Hipposideros armiger (great roundleaf bat)
Lineage: Eukaryota; Metazoa; Chordata; Mammalia; Chiroptera; Hipposideridae
Exons: 3
Source: RefSeq, a predicted model, not a curated record